Molecule: ribosomal RNA, 434 nt
Filed under: uncultured bacterium
Lineage: Bacteria
Description: partial 16S ribosomal RNA
Rfam family: Bacterial small subunit ribosomal RNA
Source: RNAcentral
AGCGAACGCUGGCGGCAGGCUUAACACAUGCAAGUCGAGCGGGCACUCUCUGAUGUCAUCGUCGGACGGGUGGGUAACGCGUGGCAACGUGCCCUCUGGUUCGGAAUAACUCUGUCAUACUUGAGCUCAUACCGGAUACGCCCUUUUUAGCAAAGGCUGCCUGCCGGAGGAUCGGCCUGCGUCUGAUUAGCUAGGUGGUGAGGUAACGGCUCACCAAGGCGACUAUCAGUAGCUGGUAUGAGAGGAUGAUCAGGCAUACUGUGACUGAGACAAGGCGGAGAUAUCGAAGGGAGGGAGCAGUGGGGAAUAUUGGACAAUGCGCGCAAGACGGAGGCAGCCAUGCCGCGUGAGUGAUGAAGGCGUUAGGGAUGUAAAGCGCUUUUAUCCGGGACGAUAAGGACGGAACCGGAGGAAUAAGCCCCGGCUAACUUCGU